ACGCACGCUGGCGGCGUGCUUAACACAUGCAAGUCGCACGGAAAGGCCCUGCUUUUGUGGGGUGCUCGAGUGGCGAACGGGUGAGUAACACGUGAGUAACCUGCCCUUGACUUUGGGAUAACUUCAGGAAACUGGGGCUAAUACCGGAUAGGAGCUCCUGCUGCAUGGUGGGGGUUGGAAAGUUUCGGCGGUUGGGGAUGGACUCGCGGCUUAUCAGCUUGUUGGUGGGGUAGUGGCUUACCAAGGCUUUGACGGGUAGCCGGCCUGAGAGGGUGACCGGCCACAUUGGGACUGAGAUACGGCCCAGACUCCUACGGGAGGCAGCAGUGGGGAAUAUUGCACAAUGGGCGGAAGCCUGAUGCAGCAACGCCGCGUGCGGGAUGACGGCCUUCGGGUUGUAAACCGCUUUCGCCUGUGACGAAGCGUGAGUGACGGGAAUGGGUAAAGAAGCACCGGCUAACUACGU
This 466-nucleotide ribosomal RNA is filed under the name uncultured bacterium. RNAcentral describes it as "partial 16S ribosomal RNA". It matches the Rfam family "Bacterial small subunit ribosomal RNA", at positions 29 to 506 of the family's 1533-position model. The record is from RNAcentral.